GCUACGGGCGGCUGCAGUGGGGAAUCUUGCGCAAUGGGCGAAAGCCUGACGCAGCGACGCCGCGUGGGUGACGAAGGCCUUCGGGUUGUAAAGCCCUGUGGGGAGGAACGAACCGUCCGGGGGCCAAUACCCUCCGGGCCUGACGGUACCUCUUUAGCAAGCAUCGGCUAACUCUGUGCCAGCAGCCGCGGUAAGACAGAGGAUGCGAACGUUGCUCGGACUUACUUAGCGUGCCCCGCGCGUAGGUGGCGAAAGCCCUGGGCUCAACGGAGGAAGUGCACGGGAUACUGCGAGGCUGGAGUACAGAAGAGGACAGCGGAAUUCCCGGUGUAGAGGUGAAAUUCGUAGAUAUCGGGAGGAACACCAGUGGCGAAGGCGGCUGUCUGGGCUGAUACUGACACUGAGGCGCGAAAGCGUGGGAAGCAAACAGGAUUAGAUACCCUGGUAGUC
This 450-nucleotide ribosomal RNA is filed under the name uncultured bacterium. RNAcentral's name for it is "partial 16S ribosomal RNA". It matches the Rfam family "Bacterial small subunit ribosomal RNA", at positions 338 to 795 of the family's 1533-position model. The record is from RNAcentral.